Molecule: ribosomal RNA, 253 nt
Filed under: uncultured bacterium
Lineage: Bacteria
Description: partial 16S ribosomal RNA
Rfam family: Bacterial small subunit ribosomal RNA
Source: RNAcentral
UACGAAGGGGGCUAGCGUUGCUCGGAUUGACUGGGCGUAAAGGGCGCGUAGGCGGUUCGUACAGUCAGACGUGAAAUUCCUGGGCUCAACCUGGGGGCUGCGUUUGAUACGUGCGGACUUGAGUGCGGAAGAGGGUCGUGGAAUUCCCAGUGUAGAGGUGAAAUUCGUAGAUAUCAGGAGGAACACCCGUGGCGAAAGCGGCUCUCUGGGACGGUACUGACGCUGAGACGCGAAAGCGUGGGGAGCAAACAGG